GUUAUAGGGUCAAGCGAACAAGUGCAUGUGGUGGAUGCCUUGGCGAUCACAGGCGAUGAAGGACGCGGUAGCCUGCGAAAAGCUACGGGGAGCUGGCAAACGAGCUUUGAUCCGUAGAUGUCCGAAUGGGGAAACCCACUCCUUUUGGAGUAUCCAUGGCUGAAUACAUAGGCCAUGUGAAGCGAACGCGGUGAACUGAAACAUCUAAGUAACCGCAGGAAAAGAAAUCAACCGAGAUUCCCAAAGUAGUGGCGAGCGAAAUGGGAUGAGCCUUGCACUCUUUAUUUGUAUUGUUAGCCGAACGCUCUGGAAAGUGCGGCCAUAGCAGGUGAUAGCCCUGUAGGCGAAAACAGUAUGAAAGAACUAGGUGUGCGACAAGUAGGGCGGGACACGUGAAAUCCUGUCUGAAGAUGGGGGGACCAUCCUCCAAGGCUAAAUACUCGUGAUCGACCGAUAGUGAACCAGUACCGUGAGGGAAAGGCGAAAAGAACCCCGGGAGGGGAGUGAAAUAGAUCCUGAAACCGCAUGCAUACAAACAGUCGGAGCCUCGUAAGGGGUGACGGCGUACCUUUUGUAUAAUGGGUCAGCGACUUACGUUCAGUAGCAAGCUUAACCGUAUAGGGCAGGCGUAGCGAAAGCGAGUCCGAAUAGGGCGUUCAGUUGCUGGGCGUAGACCCGAAACCAGGUGAUCUAUCCAUGGCCAGGAUGAAGGUGCGGUAACACGUACUGGAGGUCCGAACCCACUAACGUUGAAAAGUUAGGGGAUGAGCUGUGGAUAGGGGUGAAAGGCUAAACAAACCUGGAAAUAGCUGGUUCUCUCCGAAAACUAUUUAGGUAGUGCCUCGUGUCUCACCUUCGGGGGUAGAGCACUGUCAUGGUUGGGGGGUCUAUUGCAGAUUACCCCGCCAUAGCAAACUCCGAAUACCGAAGAGUGCAAUCACGGGAGACAGACAUCGGGUGCUAACGUCCGGUGUCAAGAGGGAAACAACCCAGACCGCCAGCUAAGGUCCCCAAAUAUAGCUAAGUGGGAAACGAAGUGGGAAGGCUAAAACAGUCAGGAGGUUGGCUUAGAAGCAGCCACCCUUUAAAGAAAGCGUAAUAGCUCACUGAUCGAGUCGUCCUGCGCGGAAGAUGUAACGGGGCUAAGCUAUAUACCGAAGCUGCGGAUGCGUGCUUGCACGCAUGGUAGGAGAGCGUUCCGUAAGCCUGCGAAGGUGCCUUGUAAAGGGUGCUGGAGGUAUCGGAAGUGCGAAUGCUGACAUGAGUAGCGAUAAAGGGGGUGAAAGGCCCCCUCGCCGUAAGCCCAAGGUUUCCUACGCAACGUUCAUCGGCGUAGGGUGAGUCGGCCCCUAAGGCGAGGCAGAAAUGCGUAGCUGAUGGGAAGCAGGUCAAUAUUCCUGCACCAUUGUUAGAUGCGAUGGGGGGACGGAUCGCGGAAGGUUGUCCGGGUGUUGGAAGUCCCGGUCGCUGCAUUGGAGAAGGCGCUUAGGCAAAUCCGGGCGCGUAAUUCAAGGGUGUGGCGCGAGCUCCUUCGGGAGCGAAGCAAUUGGAAGUGGUUCCAAGAAAAGCCUCUAAGCUUCAGUCUAACGAUGACCGUACCGCAAACCGACACAGGUGGGCGAGAUGAGUAUUCUAAGGCGCUUGAGAGAACUCGGGAGAAGGAACUCGGCAAAUUGGUACCGUAACUUCGGGAUAAGGUACGCCCUUGUAGCUUGACUGGCCUGCGCCAGGAGGGUGAAGGGGUUGCAAUAAACUGGUGGCUGCGACUGUUUAAUAAAAACACAGCACUCUGCAAACACGAAAGUGGACGUAUAGGGUGUGACGCCUGCCCGGUGCCGGAAGAUUAAAUGAUGGGGUGCAAGCUCUUGAUUGAAGUCCCGGUAAACGGCGGCCGUAACUAUAACGGUCCUAAGGUAGCGAAAUUCCUUGUCGGGUAAGUUCCGACCUGCACGAAUGGCGUAACGAUGGCCACACUGUCUCCUCCCGAGACUCAGCGAAGU
This 2000-nucleotide ribosomal RNA is filed under the name Burkholderia cenocepacia. Its description in RNAcentral is "bacterial LSU rRNA". It matches the Rfam family "Bacterial large subunit ribosomal RNA", at positions 1 to 2042 of the family's 2925-position model. Lineage: Bacteria; Pseudomonadati; Pseudomonadota; Betaproteobacteria; Burkholderiales; Burkholderiaceae. The record is from RNAcentral.